CGUCCAGACUCCUACGGGAGGCAGCAGUGGGGAAUAUUGCACAAUGGGGGAAACCCUGAUGCAGCAACGCCGCGUGAGUGAAGAAGUAUUUCGGUAUGUAAAGCUCUAUCAGCAGGGAAGAAAAUGACAGUACCUGACUAAGAAGCCCCGGCUAACUACGUGCCAGCAGCCGCGGUAAUACGUAGGGGGCAAGCGUUAUCCGGAUUUACUGGGUGUAAAGGGAGCGUAGACGGCAGUGCAAGUCUGGAGUGAAAGGCGGGGGCUCAACCCCCGGACUGCUCUGGAAACUGUACGGCUGGAGUGCAGGAGAGGUAAGUGGAAUUCCUAGUGUAGCGGUGAAAUGCGUAGAUAUUAGGAGGAGCACCAGUGGCGAAGGCGGCUUACUGGACUGUAACUGACGUUGAGGCUCGAAAGCGUGGGGAGCAAACAGGAUUAGAUACCCGAGUAAAG
RNAcentral lists this ribosomal RNA (450 nucleotides) under uncultured bacterium. RNAcentral's name for it is "bacterial SSU rRNA". It matches the Rfam family "Bacterial small subunit ribosomal RNA", at positions 328 to 793 of the family's 1533-position model. The record is from RNAcentral.